RNAcentral lists this ribosomal RNA (435 nucleotides) under uncultured bacterium. Its description in RNAcentral is "bacterial SSU rRNA". It matches the Rfam family "Bacterial small subunit ribosomal RNA", at positions 954 to 1392 of the family's 1533-position model. The record is from RNAcentral.
GCAGAACGCGAAGAACCUUACCCAGACUUGACAUCUAUCAAAUCCGGCCCAAAAGUUGGAGUGCCCGCAAGGGAAUGGUAAGACAGGUGCUGCAUGGCUGUCGUCAGCUCGUGUCGUGAGAUGUUGGGUUAAGUCCCGCAACGAGCGCAACCCUCGCCUUUAGUUGCUCCGCAAGGAGAUCUCUAGAGGGACCGCCAGUGAUAAGCUGGAGGAAGGUGGGGAUGACGUCAAGUCCUCAUGGCCUUUAUGUCUGGGGCUACACACGUGCUACAAUGGCGAGUACAAAGCGUUGCCAACCCGCGAGGGGGAGCUAAUCGCAUAAAACUUGUCUCAGUUCGGAUCGGAGUCUGCAACUCGGCUUCGUGAAGUCGGAAUCGCUAGUAAUCGCGGAUCAGCACGCCGCGGUGAAUACGUUCCCGGGUCUUGUACACACCG